AACGAACGCUGGCGGCAUGCCUAACACAUGCAAGUCGAACGAGAUCUUCGGGUCUAGUGGCGCACGGGUGCGUAACGCGUGGGAAUCUGCCCUUUGGUUCGGAAUAACAGUUGGAAACGACUGCUAAUACCGGAUGAUGACGAAAGUCCAAAGAUUUAUCGCUAGAGGAUGAGCCCGCGUAGGAUUAGCUAGUUGGUGUGGUAAAGGCGCACCAAGGCGACGAUCCUUAGCUGGUCUGAGAGGAUGAUCAGCCACACUGGGACUGAGACACGGCCCAGACUCCUACGGGAGGCAGCAGUGGGGAAUAUUGGACAAUGGGCGAAAGCCUGAUCCAGCAAUGCUGCGUGAGUGAUGAAGGCCUUAGGGUUGUAAAGCUCUUUUACCCGGGAUGAUAAUGACGGUACCGGGAGAAUAAGCUCCGGCUAACUCCGUGCCAGCCGCCGCCGUAA
Molecule: ribosomal RNA, 449 nt
Filed under: uncultured bacterium
Lineage: Bacteria
Description: partial 16S ribosomal RNA
Rfam family: Bacterial small subunit ribosomal RNA
Source: RNAcentral